Molecule: unclassified non-coding RNA, 359 nt
Filed under: soil metagenome
Description: partial contains 5.8S ribosomal RNA, internal transcribed spacer 2, and large subunit ribosomal RNA
Rfam family: 5.8S ribosomal RNA (bases 1-120)
Source: RNAcentral
GAUGAAGAACGUAGUGAAACGCGAUAGUUAAUGUGAAUUGCAGAAUUCAGUGAAUCAUCGAGUCUUUGAACGCACAUUGCGCCCCCUGGUAUUCCGGGGGGCAUGCCUGUCCGAGCGUCAUUGCUGCCCAUCAAGCGCGGCUUGUGUGUUGGGCCGCCGUCCGCCUUCCCCCCCGGGGGGAGGGGGACGGGCCCGAAAGGCAGCGGCGGCACCGCGUCCGGUCCUCGAGCGUAUGGGGCUCUGUCACCCGCUCUGGAGGCCCGGCCGGCGCCCGCCGACCCCCAACCUUCUUCUAACCAGGUUGACCUCGGAUCAGGUAGGGCUACCCGCUGAACUUAAGCAUAUCAAUAAGCGGAGGA